AUACGUAGGGAGCGAGCGUUGUCCGGAAUUACUGGGUGUAAAGGGCGCGUAGGCGGGAGUGCAAGUCAGAUGUGAAAUACAUGGGCUCAACCCAUGGGCUGCAUUUGAAACUGCAUUUCUUGAGGGAAGUAGAGGUAAGCGGAAUUCCUGGGGUAGCGGUGAAAUGCGUAGAUAUCAGGAGGAACACCGGUGGCGAAGGCGGCUUACUGGGCUUUUACUGACGCUGAGGCUCGAAAGCGUGGGGAGCAAACAGGAUUAGAUACCCUGGUAGUCCACGCUGUAAACGAUGAUUACUAGGUGUGGGGGGACUGACCCCUUCCGUGCCGCAGUUAACACAAUAAGUAAUCCACCUGGGGAGUACGGCCGCAAGGUUGAAACUCAAAUGAAUUGGCGGGG
RNAcentral lists this ribosomal RNA (396 nucleotides) under uncultured bacterium. RNAcentral's name for it is "partial 16S ribosomal RNA". It matches the Rfam family "Bacterial small subunit ribosomal RNA", at positions 523 to 918 of the family's 1533-position model. The record is from RNAcentral.